This 413-nucleotide ribosomal RNA is filed under the name uncultured bacterium. RNAcentral's name for it is "bacterial SSU rRNA". It matches the Rfam family "Bacterial small subunit ribosomal RNA", at positions 29 to 455 of the family's 1533-position model. The record is from RNAcentral.
AACGAACGCUGGCGGCAGGCUUAACACAUGCAAGUCGAGCGCCCCGCAAGGGGAGCGGCGCACGGGUGAGUAACGCGUGGGAACUUGUCCUCUGGUACGGAACAACCGAGGGAAACUUCGGCUAAUACCGUAUGAGCACUCUGGUCGAAAGGUUGGGGUGGAAAGAUUUAUCGCCAGGGGAGAGGCCCGCGUCCGAUUAGGUAGUUGGUGGGGUAAAGGCCUACCAAGCCUUCGAUCGGUAGCUGGUCUGAGAGGAUGAUCAGCCACACUGGGACUGAGACACGGCCCAGACUCCUACGGGAGGCAGCAGUGGGGAAUAUUGGACAAUGGGCGCAAGCCUGAUCCAGCCAUGCCGCGUGAGUGAUGAAGGCCUUAGGGUUUAGUAAGCUUCGUUUCGGGACGGGGAAGAAUAA